RNAcentral lists this long non-coding RNA (1824 nucleotides) under Ananas comosus (pineapple). Its description in RNAcentral is "long non-coding RNA (ACOM_LNC018916)". Lineage: Eukaryota; Viridiplantae; Streptophyta; Magnoliopsida; Poales; Bromeliaceae. The record is from RNAcentral.
GCAAGCAUCUCGAAUUUAUCCCAGAAUAUCCCUCUGGAAUAUUAUCUUCAUUGGACGAAUCUACUUCCCGAUAACACCACCAUUUGUUAGAGAGGGACCCAAAUACAUCGAUCAAUUUGCUUUCUCUCUUAUCUCUCGCUCCUCCCCUCCUGUAACUCCUCUCUCUCUCUCUCUCUCUCUCUUUCUCUCUCUCUCUCUCUCCAAAUCCAUUUACAUUUCCUCUCCACAAACGAAUUAUUCAUUCAUUCAUCUACUUGCAAGCUCACCUAAUUGUUCAUCUCGAAGGUGCGGGAGAACUUGGGGAGGUAAGUAAUAGAUCUUUUCAUCUUUUCUUUUAUACUAUUUUGUUGCCGUUAUUUUUGAGCUUCUUAGUUAAUUUUAAUGCUGGUUCUCCCUGCUGAUGCUGUUGUAAGGAAAAUUUCGUUGAUUAUGAUAAUUGUAUGAACAAAGUUGUUUGGCACGGGAGCAAGUCUCCAUUGGAGGCUUGAUUUAUAGAUAUUGCAUUCAGUUCAAGUGGUGGCACGGAGAUUGGCCCUUCAUUGUCUUGGUUUGACUUUUUCAAAUUAAUAAGUUUUGUCCUCGUCUAAUCAAAUAUUAAAUUCAACCCAUCAACCUUGUUGAUCAAUGAUAACAAAACUUGCUUUGUCCUUAAAUUCGAUGCCCAUAAUUUGUUAUCAGUUGUACCGUAGCAUAAUUGGUUGCAUUUAUGUGGGCGCACGGCACGUCUGCGGGACAAAAAUUUCCUGGGCACCGUGCCCAAACAAUUUGUUUGGGCACGGUGCCCGGAUGGGCGCCGCGUGUGCAGUGGGGCCAAUCCGCACCCUCCCUUCCCCCUCUCUUUUUCUCUCUUCCUAAAAACCGAGCCCACCAUUUUUAUUAUUUUUUUUUGAGGGUGCCGAUGGGCGCCGCUACACACGCGGCGCCCAUCCGGCACCGUCCCCAAACAAAUUUUGUUUGGGCACGGUGCCCAGAAAAUUUUUGUCCACGUCUGCGUGUCUGAUAGCAGAAUUUUUAUUACCAUUGGGUUGUAAUAUGACCGCAACCUCUAUCAGUAUUCUGAUACUCGAUCCAAACUGUAGCCAAUUAUCACAAAAUACGAAGUAUAGCAAUCCAAAUGUAUGUUGUUUGUGAACUUCGAUAAUCUAAGGAAAAUCAAGGGUAUCUCAGUACGUUUAACAAGUGUAGAAAUAACAUUUCACAGAGAUUCUCUCCGUGGCGACUGCCCUUAGGUCCUCUUAAAUGUUAUUGAUAAAUUGACAUUCCUAUGUAUUAGCAUGUUAGCAGCUUAAUUUUUAGACCUGUGAAGUAAUUCAUGAAUAUUUACUUCUCAGCAGUACUUGAGAAAAGCACUAGGCUAUGCAAAAGCAUUACCGGGUAGCAUUUGCGGUCCAUAUGAUGUUUUCCGACUUCCCAAAGGUUACAUUCUCCAUUAGAACGAGUUAUUCAGUAAUGACUUACACAGCAUAUAAAUUUUUUUUAGUAUUACAAAGUGAUGUGCGGAAUGAAAUAUUUCCAAAUCCAAACAAGCUCGAAGUAUCAAUAGCUUUUGGAAGUCAAUCAUUACUACAAAUUAGCAAUCUAGAUGCGUUGUGACCUUUUCCAGUUUCUGGCUUUUAACGCUCAACAAUAUUCUGUAAUAGACCAGAUAUUAUAAUUACACAGCUUACAUAUAUAAUUCAUCUUUUUUUUUUUUGUUUUGUUUUGUUUUGGUAGGCAUCUAUACGGCAACAGCAUACUAGGAAAAUCGGAACAUAUGAUAGGAAUCAUUUUGCUUCCAUGACAAGAUAAUAACUGAGCUUGAAUCAUCCAUGAUACAUAAACUGU